RNAcentral lists this ribosomal RNA (451 nucleotides) under uncultured Fibrobacter sp. RNAcentral describes it as "partial 16S ribosomal RNA". It matches the Rfam family "Bacterial small subunit ribosomal RNA", at positions 341 to 792 of the family's 1533-position model. The record is from RNAcentral. Lineage: Bacteria; Pseudomonadati; Fibrobacterota; Fibrobacteria; Fibrobacterales; Fibrobacteraceae.
ACGGAAGGCAGCAGUAGGGAAUAUUGCACAAUGGGGGGAACCCUGAUGCAGCAACGCCACGUGUGGGAAGACGCAUUUCGGUGUGUAAACCACUGUCGUGAGGGAAUAAGGCUACUUUCCGGAGUAGUUGAAUGUACUUUGAAAGGAAGCACCGGCAAACUUCGUGCCAGCAGCCGCGGUAAUACGAGGGGUGCAAGCGUUGUUCGGAAUCACUGGGCGUAAAGGGAGCGCAGGCGGGGAUGCAAGCAGUCUGUACAAUACCGGGGCCCAACCCCGGACCUGCAGACUGGACUGUUUCCCUUGGAUGGCUCAGGGGCUGGCGGAAUUCCUGGUGUAGCGGUGGAAUGCGUAGAGAUCAGGAAGAACACCGAUGGCGAAGGCAGCCAGCUGGGGGCUUAUCGACGCUCAUGCUCGAAAGUGCGGGUAGCAAACAGGAUUAGAUACCCUGGUA